This 1191-nucleotide long non-coding RNA is filed under the name Homo sapiens (human). Its description in RNAcentral is "long intergenic non-protein coding RNA 293". Lineage: Eukaryota; Metazoa; Chordata; Mammalia; Primates; Hominidae. The record is from RNAcentral.
GGUACUGCACAGAACAGACAUUGUGACAUAUAUCUAGGCAAAUUGCCUAGAAGUGAAUCCCCUCUCCUGCUUAAGUCCUUCCCACAGAGAGCGGUUUGAUAUGUCACUGAAACCAGCAUCCAGGUGGUAUUGCUCCAUAUGCCUGAGACCCUAACAAAAGCCUAAUUACAACUCAUAUGCCUGGAGCCAGGACAUGUGCAGGAUGACUCUGCCAAGAGAGGGGAUUAUUACAUAUUGCAGAGCCCAGCACCUAGGUGGAGUGACUCUCAUCUUUUUCUUCUACCCCGUAUAUAGCCAGCUUGGUGACCUACUAUUUGAGUCUAUACCCAGGCCCAGACCACAGAUGAAAUUGUGCAAUAUGUGGAACAAACACCUAAACAAUAUAUAACACCUUCCUUGGCUCUGUCUACAAAGGGCACUUUUAUAUAUCACUGGGACCAUCAACCAGGUGAUGUUGUGCCAUAUAACUGAGACCGUAUCAAAAGCCUAAUAACAAGACGUAUGUCUGGAGCCCCGAUAUGCACAGGAUGGUGAUAUAACCCUCUUCUCUGGAAUGGGCCCCACACAAAGGAAGGAUAGUGACAUAUUGCAAGCCCAGGCACACAGGCCCAGAGCACAGUUGAAAUUGUGACAUAUGUACACCAAGCAACCAAGCAAUGUAUAACACCUCAUUUGGCAAUGGAAUCGAGGGCACUUUUACAUAUCACUGAGACCAGCGCCCAGCUGAUGUGAAAUAUUGGCCUGAACCCUGCCUACAAAAGCAUUGUGGCUUUUAUCUAGCUCCAUUACAUAAGUGAUGUGACUUCCUUCUACUGCCUUGGCCCUGCACUUAUGGUGAAUCGUGACACAAAAUUGGGUAGAGCAACCAGCCUGGGCCCUGACCAGCACAGAGAUUGAGGCAUAUUGCUGAACCCAGGACCAAGAUGAAGUCACUCUCCUGCCUUGAUCCUGCACACAGGGACCCUUGUGACAUAUAUACAGGCCAAUUGCCUAGGUGAUGUUGUGCAAUAUACCUGAGACCAGAUCAAUGGCCUAAUAAUGACUCUUUUACCUAGAGCCAGGACAUGUGCAGGAUGGUAACUCUCAUCCCUGAACCUUUCCACAGGUGUUAUUGUCACAUAUACCUUUUCCAGCUCCAAAGUGAUUUAAUAAUCCAGCCUAGUUAUAGCCCACAGAUAAUAUUUGGACAUA